UACGGAGGAGGCAAGCGUUAUCCGGAAUUAUUGGGCGUAAAGCGUCCGCAGGUGGCACCUCAAGUCUGCUGUCAAAGACCGGGGCUUAACCCCAGAAAGGCAGUGGAAACUGAAGCGCUAGAGUGCAGUAGGGGUAGAGGGAAUUCCCGGUGUAGCGGUGAAAUGCGUAGAGAUCGGGAAGAACAUCGGUGGCGAAAGCGCUCUACUGGACCGCAACUGACACUCAGGGACGAAAGCUAGGGGAGCGAAUGGG
RNAcentral lists this ribosomal RNA (253 nucleotides) under uncultured bacterium. RNAcentral's name for it is "partial 16S ribosomal RNA". It matches the Rfam family "Bacterial small subunit ribosomal RNA", at positions 524 to 776 of the family's 1533-position model. The record is from RNAcentral.